Molecule: ribosomal RNA, 254 nt
Filed under: uncultured bacterium
Lineage: Bacteria
Description: partial 16S ribosomal RNA
Rfam family: Bacterial small subunit ribosomal RNA
Source: RNAcentral
GACGUAGGGUGCGAGCGUUGUCCGGAAUUAUUGGGCGUAAAGAGCUCGUAGGCGGCUUGUUGCGUCGGCUGUGAAAACCCGCGGCUCAACCGUGGGCUUGCAGCCGAUACGGGCAGGCUAGAGUUCGGUAGGGGAGACUGGAAUUCCUGGUGUAGCGGUGAAAUGCGCAGAGUAUCAGGAAGAACACCCGUGGCUAAGGCGGCUCUCUAGUACGGUACUGACGCUGAGACGCGAAAGCGUGGGGAGCGAACAGG